Molecule: small nuclear RNA, 104 nt
Organism: Suricata suricatta (meerkat)
Lineage: Eukaryota; Metazoa; Chordata; Mammalia; Carnivora; Herpestidae
Source: Ensembl
GUGCUCGCUUUGGCAGCACAUAUACUAAAGUUGGCACGAUACAGGGAUUAGCAUGGCCCCUGCGCAGGGGUGAGGUGGACAUUCCAUGGACAGCCCACAUGGUA